ACAUCCAGCGAACUUGGCAGAGAUGCCUUGGUGCCUUCGGGAACGCUGAGACAGGUGCUGCAUGGCUGUCGUCAGCUCGUGUUGUGAAAUGUUGGGUUAAGUCCCGCAACGAGCGCAACCCUUAUCCUUUGUGCCAGCGAUUCGGUCGGGAACUCAAAGGAGACUGCCGGUGAUAAACCGGAGGAAGGUGGGGAUGACGUCAAGUCAUCAUGGCCCUUACGAGUAGGGCUACACACGUGCUACAAUGGCGCAUACAAAGAGAAGCGACCUCGCGAGAGCAAGCGGACCUCAUAAAGUGCGUCGUAGUCCGGAUCGGAGUCUGCAACUCGACUCCGUGAAGUCGGAAUCGCUAGUAAUCGUGGAUCAGAAUGCCACGGUGAAUACGUUCCCGGGCCUUGUACACACCGCCCGUCACACCAUGGGAGUGGGUUGCAAAAGAAGUAGGUAGCUUAACCCUCGGGAGGGCGCUUACCACUUUGUGAUUCAUGACUGGGGUGAAGUCGUAACAAGGUAAGCGUAGCGAG
This 524-nucleotide ribosomal RNA is filed under the name uncultured bacterium. Its description in RNAcentral is "bacterial SSU rRNA". It matches the Rfam family "Bacterial small subunit ribosomal RNA", at positions 984 to 1509 of the family's 1533-position model. The record is from RNAcentral.